GCUUUUUAUGUCCCCCACUAUAGUAGUGGGGGACAUAUUGUUUUUGCCCUGUCUGUUGGUCUGUUGGUCUGUCUGUUGGUCUGUUUGGGCCAACUUUAACAUUUUGCAAUAACUUUUGCUAUAUUGAAGAUAGCAACUUAAUAUUUGGCAUGCAUGUGUAUCUCAUGAAGCUGCACAUUUUGAGUGGUGAAAGUUCAAGGUCAAGGUAAUCCUUCAGGGUCAGAGGUCAAAUAUAUGUGGCCAAAAUCGCUCAUUUUAUGAAUACUUUUGCAAUAUUGAAGAUAGCAACUUGAUAUUUGGCAUGCAUGUGUAUCUCAUGGAGCUGCACAUUUUGAGUGGUGAAAGGUCAAGGUCAAGGUCAUCCUUCAAGGUCAGAGGUCAAAUAUAUGUGGCCCAAAUCACUUAUUUUAUGAAUACUUUUGCAAUAUUGAAGAUAGCAACUUGAUAUUUGGCAUGCAUGUGUAUCUCAUGGAGCUGCACAUUUUCAGUGGUGAAAGGUCAAGGUCAUCCUUCACAAGGUCAAGGUCAUCCUUCAAGGUCAAACGUCAUAUAGGGGGACAUUGUGUUUCACAAACACAUCUUGUUGGUUUUUCAAAUAGUUUAAUACAUCAUUACGUUUUUUAUAGUCAUUAAGGCCACGGCAGUUGUAAGAUAAAAUCUUAAAGUCAACCAAUUGUAUAGAUUUUGAAGUUUAAAUUAUAAGUUUGGUUCAACAUACGAAAGAACCCAAUUGCCAAUAAAAUGAAAAGAU
This is a long non-coding RNA of Dreissena polymorpha, 751 nucleotides long. RefSeq lists it as uncharacterized. The transcript is spliced from 2 exons. NCBI's taxonomy places the organism in Eukaryota, Metazoa, Mollusca, Bivalvia, Myida, Dreissenidae. The record is from RefSeq and is a predicted model, not a curated record.